ACCCUUUAAUGUUUGAUGUUCUAACGUGGACCCGUGAUCCGGGUUGCGGACAGUGUCUGGUGGGUAGUUUGACUGGGGCGGUCUCCUCCUAAAGAGUAACGGAGGAGCACGAAGGUUGGCUAAUCCUGGUCGGACAUCAGGAGGUUAGUGCAAUGGCAUAAGCCAGCUUGACUGCGAGCGUGACGGCGCGAGCAGGUGCGAAAGCAGGUCAUAGUGAUCCGGUGGUUCUGAAUGGAAGGGCCAUCGCUCAACGGAUAAAAGGUACUCCGGGGAUAACAGGCUGAUACCGCCCAAGAGUUCAUAUCGACGGCGGUGUUUGGCACCUCGAUGUCGGCUCAUCACAUCCUGGGGCUGAAGUAGGUCCCAAGGGUAUGGCUGUUCGCCAUUUAAAGUGGUACGCGAGCUGGGUUUAGAACGUCGUGAGACAGUUCGGUCCCUAUCUGCCGUGGGCGCUGGAGAACUGAGGGGGGCUGCUCCUAGUACGAGAGGACCGGAGUGGACGCAUCACUGGUGUUCGGGUUGUCAUGCCAAUGGCACUGCCCGGUAGCUAAAUGCGGAAGAGAUAAGUGCUGAAAGCAUCUAAGCACGAAACUUGCCCCGAGAUGAGUUCUCCCUGAGACUUA
This 623-nucleotide ribosomal RNA is filed under the name Salmonella enterica. RNAcentral describes it as "partial 23S ribosomal RNA". It matches the Rfam family "Bacterial large subunit ribosomal RNA", at positions 2202 to 2824 of the family's 2925-position model. Lineage: Bacteria; Pseudomonadati; Pseudomonadota; Gammaproteobacteria; Enterobacterales; Enterobacteriaceae. The record is from RNAcentral.